CUGAUCCAUAUGAAUUCCUCUUAUUAAGAAAAAUAAAGCAUCCAGGAUUCAAUGAAGAACUGACUAUCACCUUGUUAAUCAUUCAGAAACAUGUUGCAGGCUUAAGCCAUUUUUGAUAUAGAUACUGAAACAAUUACUUGCUAAGAGCAAACUUGAAGUAACAAUUUGGACAAGACAGCAAAUGCUAUUGUCCAAGUUUUCUAAAGAAGAAUCUGAAGUGAAAUGACAUCAAGAGACCUAUCAAGACCUGUAUCCAGGAAAAGACCAAACCAAUGCAGACCAAACCAAUGCAGAACUCCUAUGUGCUGAUGGUGGUCUUACAUUUCCCUAAGUUUCUGCCGACUAAACUGUGCACACGUUCUCAGGACCUCCUGAAGCUGCGUCACAGGCACUAAUCAAAGAACACAACCAAGAGUUUGGCCUUUUCUUCAGCACUGGGAAUUGUGAUCCAAAGCUUUUCCUGAUGAAGCACAAAGUUGGAGAAAAAAAACGCAAACUAAACAACAACAAUGAAACAGAACAGAGUGAAUCUGCUGUAGCUCAAGAGAGGACGUAGCUGCCCCCACUCCGCAUCCCCGGGCUCGGGUUUGCCUUGCUGACCUCUGCUGCCACCUGGUGCCGCACAGAGAAACUGAGGAGAAACCACAUCAGUCUCCUUCAGCCUCAGCUUCACAUCUGUGGGUCAAGUAACCCUUUCAGAAGCUGAAUAAUGUGGGAAAGCUUUCCUCUCAGGAAAAUGCACACAUCCAACUUUGAGAAGAUGCCCUUGGGGGCGCUUCAAGGAUUCUAGAUAAUAACCCCCUUUCCCGAACAUCCAAGAACCUAAGAUUUUUUUUUUUUUUUUGAGAAAGUCUCGCUCUCUCUCCCAGUCUGGAGUGCAGUGGCGUGAUCUUGGCUCACUGCCAGCUCCACCUCCCAGGUUCACGCCAUUCUCCUGCUUCAGCCUCCCUAGUAGCUGGGGCUACAGGCACCUGCCACCAAACCCGGCUAAUUUUUUUGUAUUUUUAGUAGAGACGGGGUUUCACCGUGUUAGCCAGGAUCGUCUUGAUCUCCUGACCUUGUGAUCCACCCGCCUCGGCCUCCCAAAUUGCUGGGAUUACAGAUGUGAGCCACCGCACCUGGUCCAAGAGCCCAAGUUUUAGAUCUAGAGUGAUGUCAGCAUGACAUUGAUUUCCUGAGGCCCAGGGGCGAAGGAGCUGAGGACAGCAGAGGGGUGAAGGAACUCAGCUACAGACAGCAGCAGCUGAUGCACAGGCCUCCCAGCGCCUGAAGUCACCCGGAAUUGGGAAGUGCUCAGAAGCUUACAAAGCUGCCUCGAGCAGAAGAAUCCCAGACUUCUUAGAGAACCCAGUGACUUUUUGCACCUUAAAUCUGUGAAAUCCUCAUGCUUUCUUCUGCCGUAUCCAUCGUUCAAACAAACAUGAGGCAAAGCUAGACACAUUCCUGAAGGAACCCAAGAAAUUCCUCUCUUUCUCUCUCUGGAAUGAAAUGAAUUCUCUAGACCACCAGUUCUAACCUUCAAAAACGAAACCUGUUUGUGAGAUCUCCUUCAAAUACUACUGUAGACCCCAGUGUUUAUUCAUUAAAUUUUUUAAACAUU
This 1600-nucleotide long non-coding RNA is filed under the name Homo sapiens (human). RNAcentral's name for it is "HSALNT0387896". Lineage: Eukaryota; Metazoa; Chordata; Mammalia; Primates; Hominidae. The record is from RNAcentral.